Molecule: long non-coding RNA, 452 nt
Organism: Onychomys torridus (southern grasshopper mouse)
Lineage: Eukaryota; Metazoa; Chordata; Mammalia; Rodentia; Cricetidae
Exons: 4
Source: RefSeq, a predicted model, not a curated record
AAGCAGCAUAAAGCCAGCAGGAGGGUCAAGGCACAGUGGGAUCUCCAAACAGCAUUGCCUGCUAAUCCUGUGUGGAUAAAAGACUGACCCCCAGCUCGGAAGCAGUGCGAGUUCACCAGAGUUUACAGAAGCAAAUCAGGAUGAGAAGCUGGCCUCUGUCAGAGCCUUUUCAGACUCACUUCUAAGACUCCAAAACCUCCCAGGAAGCAGAAGAGCAAAGGAAGGCCAAGACGGGAGAAUGAGUGAUGUCAGCAGAGCUUCCAGCCUUCCAUGGAUCUUCCUCUCACCCCAAACCCCAGGAGAAAAUUCAGAGACUGAUUUUAGGAAACCAUGGACCCCAGAGAAAGAGAAUUGAACAGAAGACAUGGAAACACUUGUAUGAGAGAGAGGAACUUUGGCCCCGCUGAAGGAGAAAGUGAAACAGAAAGGAAGCCGAGGGGUGGAGUUGCUGC